RNAcentral lists this ribosomal RNA (292 nucleotides) under uncultured bacterium. RNAcentral describes it as "partial 16S ribosomal RNA". It matches the Rfam family "Bacterial small subunit ribosomal RNA", at positions 505 to 796 of the family's 1533-position model. The record is from RNAcentral.
GUGUCAGCCGCCGCGGUAACACGUAGGGUGCAAGCGUUGUCCGGAAUUAUUGGGCGUAAAGAGCUCGUAGGCGGCUUGUCGCGUCGACUGUGAAAACCUAGGGCUCAACCCUGGGCCUGCAGUCGAUACGGGCAGGCUUGAGUGUGGUAGGGGAGACUGGAACACCUGGUGUAGCGGUGAAAUGCGCAGAUAUCAGGUAGAACACCGGUGGCGAAGGCGGGUCUCUGGGCCAUUACUGACGCUGAGGAGCGAAAGCGUGGGGAGCGAACAGGAUUAGAAACCCUAGUAGUCC